This 1693-nucleotide long non-coding RNA is filed under the name Homo sapiens (human). Its description in RNAcentral is "long intergenic non-protein coding RNA 1091". Lineage: Eukaryota; Metazoa; Chordata; Mammalia; Primates; Hominidae. The record is from RNAcentral.
GCAGACUGGAUUUUUGCCUGACUACGGUGCUCAGCCUUCUAGACAAUAGUUAUGCUAAGGGAUUAUCUUUUAACAUUGUGCAGUUAUCUCCUUUGUUUGUUUUCUUUUUUCAUUAUUCACAUAAGCCAAGGGAAAUGAAAAGCAUCUUAUUUCAGGCAAAAAGGCCUGUGAAUGAUUAACUCUGGUUCCAUGCGUUGGGACUUUGCAUAGCAACCCCGUGGCUUGCAACGACAAAAAAGCUCAAGGCAGGAACAGCAGCCCAGGGACCUGAGACCAGCGUUCUCAAAUGAAGGUGGUGAGAAACAGAUUAAAUCUGCUGUUAGAGGAGAAUUCUUCUGUCCUAGCUGUGUCUCUGUGAUCUGUGGAUGAGGGUGGGAAAGCACCACUCAGUCAAUUGGGGUGUACAAAAUGGAGUUUGAGAAGGUCUCACAUCCAGGUUGUUUUGAAGCAAAGUCCAAGCAUUGUAUCACUUCAUCUGCAAAUAUUUCAAUAAGUACCCAAAAGUAACCUCUUUACUCCUUUCCAUGAAGAUUUCCAUGCCUCAGAACAAAGUUGACCUCAUCUUGAAGACAGGAUAGAGGGGAGAUAAUGCCUGUCAACAUCUAUCACAAAAUGUUGCUCAACUUACUGAUGAAUUAAUAAAAAGUCAUCUGUACUCUCUUCUGAAGCCCAUCAUCUGCUCCUUGGUUGGACUGAGUCCCAUGAAGCCAGAUCACUUCUGACUGCAAGGAGCUUGGAAAAGCAAGUAUCUGGAUCUUUUACCAGCUAAAUUUGGAGGUCUGGAGAAGGAAAUGUACUGUUAUGACUAUAAAGACAUCCUGCUGAAUAUCCUGAUGCUUGGGAAAGUAAAACUCAAUAUAGAAAAAGCAUCACUAAUCAAAUCUACAAGAACUAUAAAAUGAGAAAAGAUUGAUGAAUAUUAAGUAGAAGAGUGAGAUGGUCAUCUUUGCAUUUAAAAAAGAUCAUUUGCUGUUGCUGUAUGGAAAAUGAAUUGGAGCAGGCGAUGAGGCUUCCUCUUUGAAGAUCACAGGUGAGAAGAUUAGGUGCUUUCUCAGAAGCCCAGCAACCUGAUGGGAGUGUGGAGUGAGCAAGACCCAAAUCGGAGCUUCAUCCCUGCAUGGUUCAUUUUGCUUAUUUGGCAAACUUGCCCUGCAGAAUCUACUCAAGCUUCCUCAGUUUCUCAAAUCAUUCUUGGGCAACAAAUGAACAAGAAAGAGGACGUCUUAUUAUCUGGUGUCUGGCUUGCUGAUUUAAUAACCUAGGAGACAGUGUUUGAAGAACACAAACUCUAAAGUCCUUCACUUAAAAAAAAAAAAAAACUUUCCCAAAUUGCUUACCAUUUGGAAAAAUUGCCUUACCUUCUUCAGUCAUCUCUGAUGUUGUCAUCCUCAGAGUAAGAAGUACGCAUUCAUAAGGAACCAUAACGUCCUUCAGGAAAUCCAGUACACCCUACAAUUUUACCUAAAACUUUGAUGUUGUUUUUUCUGAGCAUUUUACCUUCUAGGGAAAUGGAUCUCAUGCUGUUUAUCAGUUUCUGAAAGUUGUUAUUAAUCUCCCCUCAUCCCAAAAUUGAAGAACUUUGCUUAAAUCUUAGAAUCAGAACUUUGGCUCCAGUAAUAAAGACUUUUCAAUAUCUUUAUCUGCCAUUGAGUCUUACCUAACGAAAUAAAGCCUCCAAAGUGGGAAUUUGAAA